UACAGAGGUGGCAAGCGUUGUUCGGAAUUACUGGGCGUAAAGCGCGUGUAGGCGGCUCUUCAAGUCAGGCGUGAAAGCCCCGGGCUCAACCUGGGAACCGCGCUUGAGACUGAUGGGCUAGAGUUCGGGAGAGGAUGGUGGAAUUCCCAGUGUAGAGGUGAAAUUCGUAGAUAUUGGGAAGAACACCGAUGGCGAAGGCAGCCAUCUGGACCGACACUGACGCUGAGGCGCGAAAGCGUGGGGAGCAAACAGG
Molecule: ribosomal RNA, 253 nt
Filed under: uncultured bacterium
Lineage: Bacteria
Description: partial 16S ribosomal RNA
Rfam family: Bacterial small subunit ribosomal RNA
Source: RNAcentral